This 546-nucleotide long non-coding RNA is filed under the name Trifolium pratense (red clover). RNAcentral describes it as "long non-coding RNA (TPRA_LNC000764)". Lineage: Eukaryota; Viridiplantae; Streptophyta; Magnoliopsida; Fabales; Fabaceae. The record is from RNAcentral.
GAGACAACGAUAUAGAAAAUCAAAUGCAGGCUAGAUCUUUCUAGUUGGAGAAGCACCAAUCUCUUAGUGCUCAAGGAAAAAACUUGUUAUAGCUUGUGAAGCAUAAUAUAUAUAGAAGCUUCCUUGUCGAGUUGUGUGGUUAAGUAAUUUGAUGAAUGAGCUUAAGUAAUGUGAAGUGUGAUUUAUUGAUCAUCAAGGUUGAUAACCAAUUUACAAUCAAACUAGCUAAGCACCAUGUUGCCCAGAGACGAAGCAAACACAUAGAGAUGAAGUUCCAUUACCUAAAAAAUAGGUUAGCGAAGGGAUUAUGAAACUAAAGCAUUGUAGAAGUGAAAUGCAAAUAGCAGACUUACUUACAAAGGGUGUAACAAUUGAAACUUUCACAAGAUUGACAAGUUUGAUGGGUAUUGAGUUGAAACGUGAAUUAAGAUGGAAUGUUGAUGGUAUGUGAUAAUUCAAGUUAUGUGAGCUUACUUAUUGUGCAAGUCAAGCCUUCAGUGAUUAGUUGUUUAUGUUUUUUGUGUGUUAAUAACUAUUAGUAACGUG